Molecule: long non-coding RNA, 2214 nt
Filed under: Homo sapiens (human)
Lineage: Eukaryota; Metazoa; Chordata; Mammalia; Primates; Hominidae
Description: HSALNT0388207
Source: RNAcentral
CCGGCCUGGGCAACAAGAGCGAAACUCCGUCUCAAAAAAAAAAUUAAAAAAAAAAAAGAUUAAAAUAAGCCUUAUGGUACAUACAUUUUACCAUGAUUUUUUUUAAAGAAAACGAUUUGCUAAUUUUGUCAUGAGCGGUACAAGGUUACAGAUAACCAGGUCCACGUGUGUUUGCGUCUUUCCACAGUGUCACGCUUUUAUUCAUGCUACUUAAAUCACAAAAGCCACAGGCUACGUGGAGUUCCCAAGGAGGCAAUUCUCCUUAGUACUUCCCAUCACUCAGUAGUCAGCUGCGGGCACACAGGCUCCAGCCAGUCCACAAUAAUUAAGUCAAUACUGCAAACCGUACAGAAUAACAUACUUAAUUGAUAUAUAAGUGUUAUGUAGUAAACAUCCCACAACAAACAAAGUAACAUUUAACAUCAAGAGGAAAAAGAGGAGAAAGGGUUAAGGAACCAGUCCAGGGGGAGCAGGAAGACCAAAGGAGUCCUGGUCUGGUGGUCUGGUAGUCUCUGGGCCCCGUUAGAUCUUGCAAGGAGGAGUCUUUAAUGUGGCCGAGCUUUUGGGGGUCAAAUGCUGAGUUGUUUUGGUUUGUUUUUUGAGACGGAGUUUCACUCUUGUUGCCCAGGCUGGAGUGCAAUGGCGUGAUCUUGGCUCACCGCAACCUCCGCCUCCCAAGUUCAAGCGAUUCUUCUGCCUCAGCCUCCCAAGUAGCUGGGACUACAGGCACCUGCCACCAUGCCUGGCUAAUUUUUGUAUUUUUAGUAGAGACGGGAUUUCACCAUGUUGGCCAGGCUGGUCUCAAACGCCUGACCUCAUGAUCCGCCUGCCUUGGCCUCCCAAAGUGCUGGGAUUUCAGGCGUGAGCCACUGUGCCCGGCCUAGAAGAAAAUUUUAAAUUGGCUUUUAGGAAGGUUUUUUAGCAGCUAAACUUUGGAUGAGCCUAAGAAGAAAGAGUUCAGGCCUUGGCCAGGUGCAGUGGCUCAACUCUGUAAUCCCAGCACUUUGGGAGGCCGAGGCAGGCGGAUCACCUGAGGUCAGGAGUUCGAGACCAGCCUGGCCAACAUGGUGAAACCCCAUCUCUACUAAAAAUACAAAAAAAAUUAGCCGGGCAUGGUGGCACACACCUGUAAUCGCAGCUACUGGAGAGGCUGAGGCAGAAGAAUCGCUUGAACUGGAGAGGUGGAGGGUGCAGUGAGCCGAGAUCACGCCAUCGCACUCCAGCCUGGGGUACAAGAGCGAGACUUCAUCUCAAAAAAAAAAAAAAGAAAGAAAGAAAAAAGAAAAGAAAAAGUGCCUCUCUGCGGUCCAUUUCACUUGUAAGAACAAAACUGACAAAAAAUAUUUAUUACUCUGAGUAGUUCUGAAAAUGACCCAUGGUUUCACUUUCUGACAACAUCAUUCCACUUCCUCUUUCCCAAGAAACUGAUGAGAAUGAAAUUUCCUUGACCUUGAAACCCAAGCAAUAGUUUUUUUUGGAAGCUACACUACAUGGCCAAUUUAUUCUUUCCAGUGUUAUCAAAGUAAAUGUACGUAGUGCAAAAAUCAAGUAAUGCAGAGUUUAUAACGAAAAGCAACAGCCCCUGUCUUCCCGCCUCGACCUUCCACGCAGUCACAAUCCAGAUACAACAGCUUUGAAUGCGCAGGUCGUGGUAUUUAUUUCUAUCGCUCUAAAGAGUAUUGUUUCAGGAAAAACUCUGCAAGCGGUGUUUUUCCUCUGUUCUCACACCAGCACAACAAUCACCAACACAGAAAAGGGCUUCUGUGACCAAAUGUGUGAGGGUUUUUCCGCCACACACCAAGCAGUGAACACCAGCUGGGUGUUCUCCAAUUCAAUGCCAGCACUAUAGACCCAGAGAUAGUAUCAGAUCUCACAGCUCAGUUCCCAAGACUGCUGCCCCCAACUCCCCAGACGUCAGUCGCAAGUCCGGGCCUCUGGAACUUGAGAGCAACCAGCUUCAAGUUGGGGUUCUCACAACUCCCUCUUUGAGAUCGGUGUUUUUUUUUUUUUUUCAGAUGGAAUCUCGCUCUUGUUGCCCAGGCUGGAGUGCAAUGGCACAACCUCGGCUCACCGCAACCUCUGACUCCCAGGUUCAAGCAAUUCUCCUGCCUCAGCCUUCCAAGUAGCUGAGAUUACAGGCACACGCCAGCAUACCCAGCUACUUUUUGUAUUUUGUAUUUUUAGUAGAGACGGGGUUUCACCAUGUUAGCCAGG